This 24-nucleotide non-coding RNA is filed under the name Arabidopsis thaliana (thale cress). The record is from RNAcentral. Lineage: Eukaryota; Viridiplantae; Streptophyta; Magnoliopsida; Brassicales; Brassicaceae.
UUGGGAGUAGCCAUAUAGCCUAUU